This 253-nucleotide ribosomal RNA is filed under the name uncultured bacterium. RNAcentral describes it as "partial 16S ribosomal RNA". It matches the Rfam family "Bacterial small subunit ribosomal RNA", at positions 524 to 776 of the family's 1533-position model. The record is from RNAcentral.
UACGUAGGGGGCAAGCGUUGUCCGGAAUCAUUGGGCGUACAGAGCGUGUAGGCGGCUCGGUAAGUCCGCUCUGAAAGCCCGGGGCUCAACCCCGGGAGGCGGGCGGAUACUGUCGGGCUAGAGUCCGGAAGAGGCGAGUGGAAUUCCUGGUGUAGCGGUGAAAUGCGCAGAUAUCAGGAGGAACACCAAUGGCGAAGGCAGCUCGCUGGGACGGUACUGACGCUGAGACGCGAAAGCGUGGGGAGCAAACAGG